AGUUUGAUCCUGGCUCAGGACGAACGCUGGCGGCGUGCCUAAUACAUGCAAGUAGAACGCUGAAGUCUGGUGCUUGCACUAGACGGAUGAGUUGCGAACGGGUGAGUAACGCGUAGGUAACCUGCCUCAUAGCGGGGGAUAACUAUUGGAAACGAUAGCUAAUACCGCAUAACAGUAUUUACCGCAUGGUAGAUAUUUGAAAGGAGCAAUUGCUUCACUAUGAGAUGGACCUGCGUUGUAUUAGCUAGUUGGUGAGGUAACGGCUCACCAAGGCUUCGAUACAUAGCCGACCUGAGAGGGUGAUCGGCCACACUGGGACUGAGACACGGCCCAGACUCCUACGGGAGGCAGCAGUAGGGAAUCUUCGGCAAUGGGGGCAACCCUGACCGAGCAACGCCGCGUGAGUGAAGAAGGUUUUCGGAUCGUAAAGCUCUGUUGUAAGAGAAGAACUGUGAGAAGAGUGGAAAGUUUCUCACUUGACGGUAUCUUACCAGAAAGGGACGGCUAACUACGUGCCAGCAGCCGCGGUAAUACGUAGGUCCCGAGCGUUGUCCGGAUUUAUUGGGCGUAAAGCGAGCGCAGGCGGUUUGAUAAGUCUGAAGUAAAAGGCUGUGGCUUAACCAUAGUACGCUUUGGAAACUGUCAAACUUGAGUGCAGAAGGGGAGAGUGGAAUUCCAUGUGUAGCGGUGAAAUGCGUAGAUAUAUGGAGGAACACCGGUGGCGAAAGCGGCUCUCUGGUCUGUAACUGACGCUGAGGCUCGAAAGCGUGGGGAGCGAACAGGAUUAGAUACCCUGGUAGUCCACGCCGUAAACGAUGAGUGCUAGGUGUUGGGUCCUUUCCGGGACUCAGUGCCGCAGCUAACGCAUUAAGCACUCCGCCUGGGGAGUACGACCGCAAGGUUGAAACUCAAAGGAAUUGACGGGGGCCCGCACAAGCGGUGGAGCAUGUGGUUUAAUUCGAAGCAACGCGAAGAACCUUACCAGGUCUUGACAUCCCGAUGACCGCCCUAGAGAUAGGGUUUCUCUUCGGAGCAUCGGUGACAGGUGGUGCAUGGUUGUCGUCAGCUCGUGUCGUGAGAUGUUGGGUUAAGUCCCGCAACGAGCGCAACCCCUAUUGUUAGUUGCCAUCAUUCAGUUGGGCACUCUAGCGAGACUGCCGGUAAUAAACCGGAGGAAGGUGGGGAUGACGUCAGAUCAUCAUGCCCCUUAUGACCUGGGCUACACACGUGCUACAAUGGCUGGUACAACGAGUCGCAAGUCGGUGACGGCAAGCUAAUCUCUUAAAGCCAGUCUCAGUUCGGAUUGUAGGCUGCAACUCGCCUACAUGAAGUCGGAAUCGCUAGUAAUCGCGGAUCAGCACGCCGCGGUGAAUACGUUCCCGGGCCUUGUACACACCGCCCGUCACACCACGAGAGUUUGUAACACCCGAAGUCGGUGAGGUAACCUUUUAGGAGCCAGCCGCCUAAGGUGGGAUAGAUGAUUGGGGUGAAGUCGUAACAAGGGAGCC
RNAcentral lists this ribosomal RNA (1508 nucleotides) under Streptococcus sp. 4098. RNAcentral describes it as "16S ribosomal RNA". It matches the Rfam family "Bacterial small subunit ribosomal RNA". The record is from RNAcentral. Lineage: Bacteria; Bacillati; Bacillota; Bacilli; Lactobacillales; Streptococcaceae.